GCCGGAGUGGCGAAAUGGCAGACGCACUGGACUCAAAAUCCAGCGGUGGCAACACCGUGUGGGUUCAACUCCCUCCUCCGGCA
Molecule: transfer RNA, 83 nt
Filed under: Lentisphaerota bacterium
Lineage: Bacteria; Pseudomonadati; Lentisphaerota
Description: Lentisphaerae bacterium (anaerobic digester metagenome) tRNA-Leu
Rfam family: tRNA
About the family: Transfer RNA (tRNA) molecules are approximately 80 nucleotides in length. Their secondary structure includes four short double-helical elements and three loops (D, anti-codon, and T loops). Further hydrogen bonds mediate the characteristic L-shaped molecular structure. tRNAs have two regions of fundamental functional importance: the anti-codon, which is responsible for specific mRNA codon recognition, and the 3' end, to which the tRNAs corresponding amino acid is attached (by aminoacyl-tRNA synthetases). tRNAs cope with the degeneracy of the genetic code in two manners: having more than one tRNA (with a specific anti-codon) for a particular amino acid; and 'wobble' base-pairing, i.e. permitting non-standard base-pairing at the 3rd anti-codon position.
Source: RNAcentral